RNAcentral lists this long non-coding RNA (265 nucleotides) under Ficedula albicollis (Collared flycatcher). RNAcentral describes it as "lncRNA (ENSFALG00000024325.1)". The record is from RNAcentral. Lineage: Eukaryota; Metazoa; Chordata; Aves; Passeriformes; Muscicapidae.
CAACAUCACAGUAAGAUUGAGUGUCUCAGCCCAGACAAUGGGCCCCUGCCUCCAGGAGUGUGCGACUGAAAUAAAUCCACUGACUUGAGCAGCCGCGCUCCAUCGCGACCGAGAGCCGAGGCUGGUUUCCCACACACAAACGUCCAUGGAGCAUGAGCCAGGGAAGAGCAUACAGCGGUGAAUCUCUGAGCUGCCUGCGGAGAUGAGCUCCGGUGCCUGCCUGUAGUUUCCACUUUGGGAUCGCUGGACAGAGAAGUGGCAUUUC